UGCAAUGAGAGUUGUGCUAAGGUAGCGCGAUAAUUUGUCUCUUAAUUGGAGAAUGGUAUGAAAGGUUUGACGUAGAUCGAUUGUCUCUAUAAAAAAAAAUGAAGUUUCCUUUUAAAUGAAAAGGUUUAAAUUUUUGUAAAAGACGAGAAGACCCUGCCGAGCUUAAUUAGGCUUUCAAUUUAGUUAUUGUUACUGUUUUUAAAGUUGAAUUUUAGUUGGGGAAAGCUAAGCUUAAGAGAACAAGUUUAUAAAGAUAUAGAUCCUCUUUGAGAGAAAGUUAGUAAAAGCUACCGCAGGGAUAACAGCGUAAUUUUUCUUGGGAGAUCGAAUUGAGGGAAAAGUUUGCGACCUCGAUGUUGGAUUAUAA
Molecule: ribosomal RNA, 367 nt
Filed under: Paphia amabilis (short-necked clam)
Lineage: Eukaryota; Metazoa; Mollusca; Bivalvia; Venerida; Veneridae
Description: partial 16S ribosomal RNA
Rfam family: Bacterial large subunit ribosomal RNA
Source: RNAcentral